Molecule: ribosomal RNA, 427 nt
Filed under: uncultured archaeon
Lineage: Archaea
Description: bacterial SSU rRNA
Rfam family: Archaeal small subunit ribosomal RNA
Source: RNAcentral
UACCUGCAGCUCGAGUGGUAACCGCUAUUAUUGGGCCUAAAGCGUCCGUAGCCGGUUUGGUAAAUAUCUGAGUAAAUCGUGAGGCUUAACUUCACGAAUUUCGGAUAGACUGCCAGACUUGGGAUCGGGGGAGGUCAGAGGUACUCCAGGGGUAGCGGUGAAAUGUUGUAAUCCUUGGAGGACCACCGGUAGCGAAGGCGUCUGACUAGAACGAGUCCGACGGUGAGGGACGAAGCCCUGGGGCGCAAACCGGAUUAGAUACCCGGGUAGUCCAGGGUGUAAACGAUGUGGGCUUUGUAUUGGAGGUCCCACGUGGGCGUCCAGUGCAGAAGAGAAGUUGUUAAGCCCACCGCCUGGGAAGUACGGUCGCAAGGCUGAAACUUAAAGGAAUUGGCGGGGAGCACAGCAACGGGAGAGCGUGCGGUUU